GGAAAAGAUAAAAGCAGGAAGGACAGGACGAGCAACACAAUGUCUGAGCCUCUGACAGCUCAGACAUACACAGUCAAAGAUGUGCUUAGCUAAACACUGAAGGACCUGGGAAAAAAGGAUUUUAAGUCUUUAAAAUG
Molecule: long non-coding RNA, 137 nt
Organism: Sander lucioperca (pikeperch)
Lineage: Eukaryota; Metazoa; Chordata; Actinopteri; Perciformes; Percidae
Exons: 2
Source: RefSeq, a predicted model, not a curated record